GAUGAACGCUGGCGGCGUGCUUAACACAUGCAAGUCGAACGAUGAAGCCCAGCUUGCUGGGUGGAUUAGUGGCGAACGGGUGAGUAACACGUGAGUAACCUGCCCUUAACUCUGGGAUAAGCCUGGGAAACUGGGUCUAAUACCGGAUAGGAGCGUCCACCGCAUGGUGGGUGUUGGAAAGAUUUAUCGGUUUUGGAUGGACUCGCGGCCUAUCAGCUUGUUGGUGAGGUAAUGGCUCACCAAGGCGACGACGGGUAGCCGGCCUGAGAGGGUGACCGGCCACAAUGGGACUGAGACACGGCCCAGACUCCUACGGGAGGCAGCAGUGGGGAAUAUUGCACAAUGGGCGCAAGCCUGAUGCAGCGACGCCGCGUGAGGGAUGACGGCCUUCGGGUUGUAAACCUCUUUCAGUAGGGAAGAAGCGAAAGUGACGGUACCUGCAGAAGAAGCACCGGCUAACUACGUG
RNAcentral lists this ribosomal RNA (466 nucleotides) under uncultured bacterium. RNAcentral's name for it is "partial 16S ribosomal RNA". It matches the Rfam family "Bacterial small subunit ribosomal RNA", at positions 28 to 507 of the family's 1533-position model. The record is from RNAcentral.